RNAcentral lists this ribosomal RNA (468 nucleotides) under uncultured bacterium. Its description in RNAcentral is "partial 16S ribosomal RNA". It matches the Rfam family "Bacterial small subunit ribosomal RNA", at positions 28 to 507 of the family's 1533-position model. The record is from RNAcentral.
GACGAACGCUGGCGGCGUGCUUAACACAUGCAAGUCGAACGGAAAGGCCCUGAUUUUGUGGGGUGCUCGAGUGGCGAACGGGGGAGUAACACGUGAGUAAAAUGCACUUGACUUAGGGAUAACUUCAGGAAAAUGGGGCUAAUACAGGGUAGGAGCUCCUGCUGCGUGGUGGGGGUUGGAAAGUUUCGGCGGUUGGGGAUGGAUUGGAGGCUUAUGAGCUUGUUGGGGGGGUAGGGGCUUACCAGGGGUUUGAAGGGUAGCCGGCCUGAGAGGGUGAACGGCCACAUUGCUCCUGAGAUACGGCGCAGACGCCUACGGGCGGCAGUAGUGGGGAAUAUUGCGGAAUGGGGGGAAGUCUGAUGCAGCAACGUCGCGUGCGUGAUGACGUCUUUCUAGUUGUAAACCGCUUUCGACUGUGACGAAGCGUGAGUGACGGUAAUGGGUAAAAAAGCACCGGCUAACUACGUG